Molecule: ribosomal RNA, 486 nt
Filed under: uncultured bacterium
Lineage: Bacteria
Description: bacterial SSU rRNA
Rfam family: Bacterial small subunit ribosomal RNA
Source: RNAcentral
GACGAACGCUGGCGGCGUGCUUAAUACAUGCAAGUCAACUUGACUUUAGAUAGCAAUAUCGAAAAGUAGGGUGGCGCACGGGUGCGUAACGCGUAGGUAAUCUGCCCUGAGGUCUGACAUAACCCGUCGAAAGGCGGGCUAACAUCAGAUGAUAUAUAAUCACGACAUCGUGGAAAUAUCAAAUCUUCGGAGCCUUGGGAUGAGCCUGCGUCUGAUUAGGUAGUUGGCGGAGUAAUAGCCCACCAAGCCUACGAUCAGUAGCUGGUCUGAGAGGAUGAUCAGCCACACUGGAACUGAGACACGGUCCAGACUCCUACGGGAGCAGCAGUAAGGAAUAUUGCUCAAUGGGGGAAACCCUGAAGCAGCAACGCCGCGUGAAGGAUGAAAUACUUUUGUAUGUAAACUUCUGUAAGAUGGGAAAAAUAUUCUCCUCGGGAGAAUUGAUUGUACCAUCAGAGUAAGCCCCGGCUAACUACGUGCCAGCAG